AUGGCUCAGGACGAACGCUGGCGGCGUGCCUAAUACAUGCAAGUCGAGCGGACAGAUGGGAGCUUGCUCCCUGAUGUUAGCGGCGGACGGGUGAGUAACACGUGGGUAACCUGCCUGUAAGACUGGGAUAACUCCGGGAAACCGGGGCUAAUACCGGAUGGUUGUUUGAACCGCAUGGUUCAAACAUAAAAGGUGGCUUCGGCUACCACUUACAGAUGGACCCGCGGCGCAUUAGCUAGUUGGUGAGGUAACGGCUCACCAAGGCGACGAUGCGUAGCCGACCUGAGAGGGUGAUCGGCCACACUGGGACUGAGACACGGCCCAGACUCCUACGGGAGGCAGCAGUAGGGAAUCUUCCGCAAUGGACGAAAGUCUGACGGAGCAACGCCGCGUGAGUGAUGAAGGUUUUCGGAUCGUAAAGCUCUGUUGUUAGGGAAGAACAAGUACCGUUCGAAUAGGGCGGUACCUUGACGGUACCUAACCAGAAAGCCACGGCUAACUACGUGCCAGCAGCCGCGGUAAUACGUAGGUGGCAAGCGUUGUCCGGAAUUAUUGGGCGUAAAGGGCUCGCAGGCGGUUUCUUAAGUCUGAUGUGAAAGCCCCCGGCUCAACCGGGGAGGGUCAUUGGAAACUGGGGAACUUGAGUGCAGAAGAGGAGAGUGGAAUUCCACGUGUAGCGGUGAAAUGCGUAGAGAUGUGGAGGAACACCAGUGGCGAAGGCGACUCUCUGGUCUGUAACUGACGCUGAGGAGCGAAAGCGUGGGGAGCGAACAGGAUUAGAUACCCUGGUAGUCCACGCCGUAAACGAUGAGUGCUAAAUGUUAGGGGGUUUCCGCCCCUUAGUGCUGCAUGACGUAGACUGCAUAAGCUCUCCG
Molecule: ribosomal RNA, 875 nt
Filed under: Bacillus subtilis
Lineage: Bacteria; Bacillati; Bacillota; Bacilli; Caryophanales; Bacillaceae
Description: bacterial SSU rRNA
Rfam family: Bacterial small subunit ribosomal RNA
Source: RNAcentral